AUGCAGCUGGGCAGGUUUCAGUCUGUGCAGAGCAGAAUGAGCCUCAUCCACCUGCUCACAUUCCAGUUUCCCAUCCGCUGUUACUGCAGUGCUGUACUGGUGAGCCGCCACUGCUUCCUACCUGACAUGGGGACAAUUCUACUUCCAGGAGCUAAAGAGCUGGAAAGCUUUGGAGGUGCUGCCCCUAGGCCAGCCGUGCAGGUCACCUUGAAGAAGCCCACCCUCCCCAGGAACAGCCAGGCAGGAGCCAAGGACCGUGGGGCAGCAGCUCUGCCAUCCUACAGCCCAGAGAGCCCCGGGCUGGGCACCCGAGCAGCAGCCACAAGCUUUGGUCAGAAGAACUCCAAGAGCCAAGCUGAAGACUUCCACGGAGUUUAUGAAAAUUCACCUCAGGCUUCGCCUCUGCGCAAUAAAAUCAAGAUCUUGUAAGCAUGGUGCAGACAGGACCUGCAAAGCACUCUGUGGAGGAAAAGCACUGAACCAGUGACCCAUUGGAUAGAAGAAAAACUGCCCCAUGCCAUGGUAGGGACACUCCCCACUCAGGAGAUGGAGAUUCUCCCUUAGUAAUAAAGUAUUCCAUUUUAUAACA
Molecule: long non-coding RNA, 589 nt
Filed under: Cyanistes caeruleus (blue tit)
Lineage: Eukaryota; Metazoa; Chordata; Aves; Passeriformes; Paridae
Description: lncRNA (ENSCCEG00000010828.1)
Source: RNAcentral